RNAcentral lists this ribosomal RNA (253 nucleotides) under uncultured bacterium. Its description in RNAcentral is "partial 16S ribosomal RNA". It matches the Rfam family "Bacterial small subunit ribosomal RNA", at positions 524 to 776 of the family's 1533-position model. The record is from RNAcentral.
UACGUAGGGGGCAAGCGUUGUCCGGAUUUAUUGGGCGUAAAGAGCGUGUAGGCGGUCAGAUAGGUCCGUUGUGAAAACUCGAGGCUCAACCUCGAGACGCCGAUGGAAACCAUCUGACUAGAGUCCGGAAGAGGAGAGUGGAAUUCCUGGUGUAGCGGUGAAAUGCGCAGAUAUCAGGAAGAACACCCGUGGCUAAGGCGGCUCUCUAGUACGGUACUGACGCUGAGACGCGAAAGCGUGGGGAGCGAACAGG